GGGCGCGUCUUGUAGACAGCUUCGUUGAAAUUGCUCCGGAAAACCCCUUGGCCAUAUUUCUUUUAAUCACGGGGUCCUGGGUUCGAGCCCCAGCGCGCUCACCA
Molecule: transfer RNA, 104 nt
Filed under: Bradyrhizobium barranii subsp. barranii
Lineage: Bacteria; Pseudomonadati; Pseudomonadota; Alphaproteobacteria; Hyphomicrobiales; Nitrobacteraceae
Description: Bradyrhizobium sp. 144S4 tRNA-OTHER
Source: RNAcentral